Long non-coding RNA from Larimichthys crocea (large yellow croaker), 486 nucleotides. RefSeq lists it as uncharacterized. The transcript has 2 exons. The record is from RefSeq and is a predicted model, not a curated record. Lineage: Eukaryota; Metazoa; Chordata; Actinopteri; Sciaenidae.
AGAAGAUGGUGGUUUGCUCUUUCGCUCACUGACUUCGUGAUUCUGUUUUCCAGGGUUACAUUUGGAGAGAGUUGAGAGCAGUGAAUCCCAGCAAAAUUCAUUUGUUACUCCAGUUCCACACAUUGAAACCAGGAGUCUACUCCAGAAUGUCUCGUUACCAGUCCUCGAUCAACUCCCACAUCGGCUCAGGCUCUGUCCAAUUCAGGGGACAACCCUGAACAGGAUUCGAUCCUGACAGCAGCUACACCUAUGGUCUGCCAGAUCCCCCAACAAGUACUACAAAACCAAGUACUAACCAAAAAGUAAUGAGCAAGUAAGUAAGUUCACCUCCAUCAUCCCCUAGAUCUGCUUCAUCAGCAUUGAUCAUGUCGUUGUAUUUACUCUUGAAGAAUCCAGCCUGAGAGUAGAAAACAAUGAAAUACAUUUAAAUAACAUGCAUAAUUAAUAAAAGAACCACACUGCAUCAGUGAAUGUGGUAAAAAAUAA